UAGGGAAUAUUGGGCAAUGCUCGCAAGAGUGACCCAGCCAUGCCGCGUGAAGGAUUAAGGCCCUCUGGGUUGUAAACUUCUUUUCUCAGGGGCGAAAAACCGGGAUUCAUCCCGGCCUGACGGUACCUGAGGAAUAAGCACCGGCUAACUCCGUGCCAGCAGCCGCGGUAAUACGGAGGGUGCAAGCGUUAUCCGGAAUCACUGGGUUUAAAGGGUACGUAGGCGGUUCUAUAAGUCAGUAGUGAAAGACCUCGGCUUAACUGAGGCAUUGCUAUUGAUACUGUAGAACUUGAAUUAGGUUGAGGUUGGCGGAAUGUGUCAUGUAGCGGUGAAAUGCAUAGAUAUGACAUAGAACAUCAAAUGCGAAGGCAGCUGACCAAACCUAUAUUGACGCUGAGGUACGAAAGCGUGGGGAGCAAACA
This 422-nucleotide ribosomal RNA is filed under the name uncultured bacterium. RNAcentral describes it as "bacterial SSU rRNA". It matches the Rfam family "Bacterial small subunit ribosomal RNA", at positions 355 to 774 of the family's 1533-position model. The record is from RNAcentral.